This 72-nucleotide transfer RNA is filed under the name Camelus bactrianus (Bactrian camel). It matches the Rfam family "tRNA". Rfam says of the family: Transfer RNA (tRNA) molecules are approximately 80 nucleotides in length. Their secondary structure includes four short double-helical elements and three loops (D, anti-codon, and T loops). RNAcentral also lists the same sequence under 2 other names. The record is from Rfam by way of RNAcentral. Lineage: Eukaryota; Metazoa; Chordata; Mammalia; Artiodactyla; Camelidae.
GAAGGAGUAGCUCAGAGGUAGAGCACAUGCUCAGCACACGUGAGGUCCUGGGUUCAAUCCCCAGCACCUCCA